Long non-coding RNA from Mauremys reevesii (Reeves's turtle), 178 nucleotides. RefSeq lists it as uncharacterized. Lineage: Eukaryota; Metazoa; Chordata; Testudines; Geoemydidae. The transcript has 3 exons. The record is from RefSeq and is a predicted model, not a curated record.
GGGGAUUCCUCUGAGCUCUAAGGUGAAAUCUUCCUCCGUUCAUCUGCAAGAGAUUCAAGAUGCUGCUUGUGUCCACUUUGUUGGUCCUGGCUGCAGGUAUCCAGUCUUUGGAUGCUGUGGUAACAACAGCAGAUCCACGUGAGCUAUCUGCUAUCCUUGGUGACACUUUAGCAACACC